CCCUUAGAUGUUCUGGGCCGCACGCGCGCUACACUGAUGCAUUCAACGAGCCUAUCCUUGACCGACAGGUCCGGGUAAUCUUUGAAUCUGCAUCGUGACGGGGAUAGAUUAUUGCAAUUAUUAAUCUUCAACGAGGAAUGCCUAGUAGGCGCAAGUCAUCAGCUUGCGUCGAUUACGUCCCUGCCCUUUGUACACACCGCCCGUCGCUCCUACCGAUUGGGUGUGCUGGUGAAAUGUUCGGAUCGGCCGUUUGUCGCGGUUUCCGCGUCAUGUGGCUGAGAAGUUCAUUAAACCCUCCCACCUAGAGGAAGAAGAAGUCGUAACA
Molecule: ribosomal RNA, 325 nt
Filed under: uncultured eukaryote
Lineage: Eukaryota
Description: partial 18S ribosomal RNA
Rfam family: Eukaryotic small subunit ribosomal RNA
Source: RNAcentral